GGGCUCACUGUGGCAGCACACGCACUAAAACUGGAACCAUACAGAGAAGAUUCGCACGGCCCCUGCGCAAGGAGGACAUGCAGAUCUGUGAAGUGCUCUGUAUUUUU
Suricata suricatta (meerkat) is the source of this 107-nucleotide small nuclear RNA. NCBI's taxonomy places the organism in Eukaryota, Metazoa, Chordata, Mammalia, Carnivora, Herpestidae. The record is from Ensembl.